UGCAAGUCGAGCGGAGUGAUGGUGCUUGCACUAUCACUUAGCGGCGGACGGGUGAGUAAUGCUUAGGAAUCUGCCUAUUAGUGGGGGACAACAUUUCGAAAGGAAUGCUAAUACCGCAUACGUCCUACGGGAGAAAGCAGGGGAUCUUCGGACCUUGCGCUAAUAGAUGAGCCUAAGUCGGAUUAGCUAGUUGGUGGGGUAAAGGCCUACCAAGGCGACGAUCUGUAGCGGGUCUGAGAGGAUGAUCCGCCACACUGGGACUGAGACACGGCCCAGACUCCUACGGGAGGCAGCAGUGGGGAAUAUUGGACAAUGGGCGCAAGCCUGAUCCAGCCAUGCCGCGUGUGUGAAGAAGGCCUUAUGGUUGUAAAGCACUUUAAGCGAGGAGGAGGCUACUGAAGUUAAUACCUUCAGAUAGUGGACGUUACUCGCAGAAUAAGCACCGGCUAACUCUGUGCCAGCAGCCGCGGUAAUACAGAGGGUGCAAGCGUUAAUCGGAUUUACUGGGCGUAAAGCGCGCGUAGGCGGCUAAUUAAGUCAAAUGUGAAAUCCCCGAGCUUAACUUGGGAAUUGCAUUCGAUACUGGUUAGCUAGAGUGUGGGAGAGGAUGGUAGAAUUCCAGGUGUA
Molecule: ribosomal RNA, 627 nt
Filed under: Acinetobacter rhizosphaerae
Lineage: Bacteria; Pseudomonadati; Pseudomonadota; Gammaproteobacteria; Moraxellales; Moraxellaceae
Description: bacterial SSU rRNA
Rfam family: Bacterial small subunit ribosomal RNA
Source: RNAcentral